GGAUAGGUGGCCGAGUGGUUAAGGGAUGGACUGCUAAUCCAUUGUGCUCUGCAUGCAUGGGUUGAAUCCCAUCCUCAUCG
This 80-nucleotide transfer RNA is filed under the name Salmo salar (Atlantic salmon). It matches the Rfam family "tRNA". From Rfam's summary of the family: Transfer RNA (tRNA) molecules are approximately 80 nucleotides in length. Their secondary structure includes four short double-helical elements and three loops (D, anti-codon, and T loops). The record is from Rfam by way of RNAcentral. Lineage: Eukaryota; Metazoa; Chordata; Actinopteri; Salmoniformes; Salmonidae.